CCCUCUGUAUGCCGUUCUCUCCUUCAUCCUUUCUCUCUCUCGCCGAACUGUAGCUAGUUCUAAAGAAGUAUACCUUCUCUAAACCUCCACGAUGGCUACAUAUCGAUUCAUCAGGUCCGAGGGGCCCUCAUACCACUCGAGUACAGAUGUAACUUAAUACACUACAGAAUGAUCAUGCAACUCGUGGGCCUGGAUCUAGUCCCCCGUAUGGACUUGAUCGAGUCCCCCUCAUGGCCUGGGUCGAAUCCCACUCAUGGACUACAGAAUUGCCAGGACGAUGACUGAAUUCCCCGGGCCACCUUACCGGACCCUGAAUGUAUCCUCUUGGCCUUAUCUCCACCACCACGAGGCGGUGAAGGACUGGUGACGCGAAGCAGCGGGAGGUCCAGAGUUCCCUUUCUACCAUGAAAGCUCUGAAUCGCCGACCAGCCAAAUGAGGGUCUGCUGGUGUCUGCUUGGACUGAAAAUGUAAAUCAAUGCACCUCCAAGUCUGAGCGGGUUGCCUUGUGACCGGGAGAUUGCUAGUUUGAAACCUGGCUCCUCCUAGCUGAGUGUGUUGUGGAGGUGUCGCCCUAACGACGAGCUCUGGCUGUGUAUGAAUGGUUGUAAGUCACUUAGGAUAAAUUGGCUUCCAAAUACAACUCUGAAGUUAUUGUCUUCAAGAUCAGAAUCAUUGUUGGACCCGCUCUGGAUUAAAGCUUCUGCUAAAUGCCCUGAAUGUAAAUGCCCCUGCUAAUCCAAAUGUGUUGCUCUUAACAAUAAAACUGUAAAAUAAA
Molecule: long non-coding RNA, 776 nt
Organism: Gadus morhua (Atlantic cod)
Lineage: Eukaryota; Metazoa; Chordata; Actinopteri; Gadiformes; Gadidae
Exons: 5
Source: RefSeq, a predicted model, not a curated record